AACGAACGCUGGCGGCAGGCCUAACACAUGCAAGUCGAACGCCCCGCAAGGGGAGUGGCAGACGGGUGAGUAACGCGUGGGAAUCUCCCCAGAGGUACGGAACAACUCAGGGAAACUUGAGCUAAUACCGUAUGUGCCCGAGAGGGCAAAGAUUUAUCGCCUUUGGAUGAGCCCGCGUUGGAUUAGCUAGUUGGUGGGGUAACGCCUACCAAGGCUACGAUCCAUAGCUGAUCUGAGAGGAUGAUCAGCCACACUGGGACUGAGACACGGCCAGACUCCUACGGGAGGCAGCAGUGGGAAUCUUGGACAAUGGGCGAAAGCCUGAUCCAGCCAUGCCGC
This 339-nucleotide ribosomal RNA is filed under the name uncultured bacterium. Its description in RNAcentral is "bacterial SSU rRNA". It matches the Rfam family "Bacterial small subunit ribosomal RNA", at positions 29 to 400 of the family's 1533-position model. The record is from RNAcentral.